GACGGGGGGGGCAAGUGUUCUUCGGAAUGACUGGGCGUAAAGGGCACGUAGGCGGUGAAUCGGGUUGAAAGUGAAAGUCGCCAAAAAGUGGCGGAAUGCUCUCGAAACCAAUUCACUUGAGUGAGACAGAGGAGAGUGGAAUUUCGUGUGUAGGGGUGAAAUGCGUAGAUAUCAGGAGGAAUACCGAUGGCGAAGGCAGGUCUCUGGGCUGACACUGACGCUCAUGCACGAAAGCGUGGGGAGCAAACAGG
This 251-nucleotide ribosomal RNA is filed under the name uncultured bacterium. RNAcentral describes it as "partial 16S ribosomal RNA". It matches the Rfam family "Bacterial small subunit ribosomal RNA", at positions 524 to 776 of the family's 1533-position model. The record is from RNAcentral.